This 245-nucleotide long non-coding RNA is filed under the name Helianthus annuus (common sunflower). Its description in RNAcentral is "hypothetical non coding rna". The record is from RNAcentral. Lineage: Eukaryota; Viridiplantae; Streptophyta; Magnoliopsida; Asterales; Asteraceae.
AUGUUGCAAACAUUUGAACAUUCACUUGAUAUCUUCACAACUUCAUUUCUGGAGGUUCCUGGAGCUCAAACACCUUUCCUAGUGAUCAUUAGUCAUUAGGAGCCCAGUAAAAGCUACGUGCACUUGAUGUAUUUGAUUUAUACUUUGCUCAGGUAAAUACUCUUAACUUAUUUUCCCAAUACGGGCUUGGGAUACGGUAUUAUAAUAAUACUGCUUGGUCGGGUAUGUAGUCAUUUAAAUCGUAU